Molecule: long non-coding RNA, 874 nt
Organism: Raphanus sativus (radish)
Lineage: Eukaryota; Viridiplantae; Streptophyta; Magnoliopsida; Brassicales; Brassicaceae
Exons: 3
Source: RefSeq, a predicted model, not a curated record
AUGGAGGCUUUAUCUUUCUAUGAUGUGAAUAUGAAGCUGAGAUCAUCAGUUGGGAAGGAGGAGAAGGCAUUGCCGUAUCUAUUGUUAUCUACAGGGUGGUCCAGGAUUUGAAGGUCCAAGGCCUAGGGAAGCUGGUGAAGAAGAGGAACAGGCUUGUCAACCCCCUUUGACGUCUUCCUCUAUGCUUCAGCAGAGGAUUUAGCUGAUUACUUGGUUCACUGUCGAGCGGAUAAUAUAGUUAAAAGAUGCUGAGUUUAUUAGAGUUCUGUCUUGUUCCUUAAUGCUGAUCCUUGGACAAUUCUGGGUCAGGUAGUUUGUCUCUGUGUUGUUGUCUACUACUCGCUCUGCAGAGUUUUGCUGUGCACUUACUUGGCUCAAUCUGAAGGCGGAGGGGUGUGGAGAAAGUACCAAAACAUUUUCUAAUUCAACUGACCAGUUUGGUUUAGUUAACUCUGUCUUUGUUUCUUUGUCUUGAGGUACCUCUUCCAUCAGGAAGCAUCCUCACUCCCAAAGGGUCUUCAAACUCUUGGAGUAUGAUGUUCAGGUUGAUGAGAUUCAAUAAAAAGAUUCAUGCCGUUGAAGCCAUAUCAAAGCUGCUGCAGAUCUCAUGGCCAAGUAAAAGGAUUCGCCUCCAUUAUAUGAUGUUUCUUCAUUGAAAACUAAAAAGGCGCCUGUUGCUGCGGUGGUGUACUAUGAAGAUAUGUUUGUAAACUUCAAGCUAGUGAUGGAAACAGCUUCUCAAAUUUCGGGUAUUAGGCUUUUUUACUCGGGUCUUUCAUGAUGCUGGAAGACAAGUUAUUGAUCAAUGUGGAAGGAUCUCUGUUUCUAUCAUUUGUAGUAGUCACUGCACAUUUGGUUUUCUUCUUUAUACGCU